Mya arenaria is the source of this 464-nucleotide long non-coding RNA. RefSeq lists it as uncharacterized. The record is from RefSeq and is a predicted model, not a curated record. Lineage: Eukaryota; Metazoa; Mollusca; Bivalvia; Myida; Myidae. The transcript is spliced from 4 exons.
ACAGGAGAAGGCAACAACUACGUUGAUAGAGUGCCUGCCAUCCAUCUUCACCAGCCUGAAGAGGGAGGCUGGGAAACGAAAUUAUGUAAGGGCAGCUGGUCUAGCAAAGUUCACACAGGACCACCGCUUUGUGAUGUUCCUUCACAUGAUGGCUGAUGUUUAGCCUCACCUAACAGAACUGUUUGUUGCCAUGCAGAAGCUAAAGGUCUUCAACCCCCGGAAGUUCCUUGGGGGGAGACAACCUGCCAUGGGGAAAAUGGCAUUAAGGACCUGGCUGAGCACUUCCAUCUUCCAGUAAACAAGAUCUUAAGUGAGUGGAGGCAGGUGCGGAACACACUGAGAACCCGGUAGGAGAGUAUGUCAGGGAUGGUUUGCUGCAAGCUAAGCAGGCUAAAGAUGAUUGAAAAGAUUAUGUCCAGACCUAUGGGAACUAUACAAGAUGGGUUUGUGGAGCAGGGAUAGUG